RNAcentral lists this unclassified non-coding RNA (229 nucleotides) under plant metagenome. RNAcentral describes it as "partial contains small subunit ribosomal RNA, internal transcribed spacer 1, and 5.8S ribosomal RNA". The record is from RNAcentral.
UUUCCGUAGGUGAUCCUGCGGAGGGAUCAUUACAGAGUUCAUGCCCUACCGGGUAGAUCUCCCACCCUAUGUUAUUAUUACUUUGUUGCUUUGGCGGGCCGUUAGGCUCCGGCCCGACUACCGGCCCCGGCUGGUAAGCGCCCGCCAGAGGACCCAAAACCCUGAAUAUUAGUGUCGUCUGAGUACUAUAUAAUAGUUAAAACUUUCAACAACGGAUCUCUUGGUUCUG